This 542-nucleotide ribosomal RNA is filed under the name uncultured bacterium. RNAcentral describes it as "bacterial SSU rRNA". It matches the Rfam family "Bacterial small subunit ribosomal RNA", at positions 914 to 1456 of the family's 1533-position model. The record is from RNAcentral.
CGGGGAGCCCGCNCAAGCAGCGGAGCAUGUGGUUUAAUUGGAAGCAACGCGAAGAACCUUACCAGGUCUUGACAUCCAUCUAAAGCGAUAGAGAUNUNGUGUGAGCUUGCUCGAGAUGAGACAGGUGGUGCAUGGUUGUCGUCAGCUCGUGUCGUGAGAUGUUGGGUUAAGUCCCGCAACGAGCGCAACCCUUAUCGUCCGUUNCUAACAGGUAAAGCUGAGGACUCAGNCGAGACUGCCGGGGACAACUCGGAGGAAGAAGGGGACGACGUCAAAUCAUCAUGCCCCUUACGACCUGGGCUACACACGUGCUACAAUGGGUACAACAAAGAGAAGCAAAUCCGCAAGGCGGAGCAAAACUCAAAAGUACUCUCAGUUCGGAUUGUGGGCUGCAACCCGCCCACAUGAAGUUGGAGUUGCUAGUAAUCGCGGAUCAGCAUGCCGCGGUGAAUACGUUCCCGGGUCUUGUACACACCGCCCGUCACACCAUGGGAGUUGGGAGCGCCCGAAUNUNNGUGAGCUAACGGAAAGGAGGCAGCUGU